GGGGUGGUGGCGCAGUUGGCUAGCGCGCAGGUCUCAUAAUCCUGAGGUCGAGAGUUCGAGCCUCUCUCACCCCA
Molecule: non-coding RNA, 74 nt
Organism: Malania oleifera
Lineage: Eukaryota; Viridiplantae; Streptophyta; Magnoliopsida; Santalales; Ximeniaceae
Source: the annotation of a RefSeq genome assembly